Molecule: ribosomal RNA, 516 nt
Filed under: Pseudoepicoccum cocos
Lineage: Eukaryota; Fungi; Ascomycota; Dothideomycetes
Description: eukaryotic LSU rRNA
Rfam family: 5.8S ribosomal RNA (bases 168-321)
Source: RNAcentral
AGGGAUCAUUACCGAGUGGAGGGCCCCCGNSNGCCCGACCUCCAACCCCCUGUCGUUACCACCGCGUUGCCUCGGGGGCGGCCGACCCUUUCGCCGGUCGACGGCCCCCGGCGGUCCGCUCAACUCUGAUUAGAACGGUCGUCUGAGCAAUUGAUGAAAUCAAUCAAAACUUUCAACAACGGAUCUCUUGGUUCUGGCAUCGAUGAAGAACGCAGCGAAAUGCGAUAAGUAAUGUGAAUUGCAGAAUUCAGUGAAUCAUCGAAUCUUUGAACGCACAUUGCGCCCCCCGGCACUCCGGGGGGCAUGCCUGUUCGAGCGUCAUUUUCACCACUCCCGCCCGGCGGGGUGUUGGGCGUCGCGGUCCCCCCGCGUGCCCCAAUGUUUUCCCGGCCCGGUCGUCCCGUCCCCGAGCGUUGUGACAUCUUCGUUUCGCUUGUGGGUGGCGGGCGGCGGCGCGCCGUCAAUACAUUAUCCUCGGUUGACCUCGGAUCAGGUAGGGAUACCCGCUGAACUUAA